UGCCAGACUCCUACGGGAGGCAGCAGUGGGGGAUAUUGCACAAUGGGGGGAACCCUGGUGCAGCGACGCCGCGUGGGUGAAGGAGUGCUUCGGCAUGUAAAGCCCUAUCGGCAGGGAAGAAGCAAGACGGUACCUGACUAAGAAGCCCCGGCUAACUACGUGCCAGCAGCCGCGGUAAUACGUAGGGGGCGAGCGUUAUCCGGAUUUACUGGGUGUAAAGGGAGCGUAGACGGCAAGGCAAGUCUGGAGUGAAAGCCCGUGGCCCAACCACGGGACUGCUUUGGAAACUGUGUUGCUGGAGUGCAGGAGGGGUAAGCGGAAUUCCUAGUGUAGCGGUGAAAUGCGUAGAUAUUAGGAGGAACACCGGUGGCGAAGGCGGCUUACUGGACUGUAACUGACGUUGAGGCUCGAAGGCGUGGGGAGCAAACAGGAUUAGAUACCCCUGUA
This 447-nucleotide ribosomal RNA is filed under the name uncultured bacterium. RNAcentral's name for it is "bacterial SSU rRNA". It matches the Rfam family "Bacterial small subunit ribosomal RNA", at positions 329 to 792 of the family's 1533-position model. The record is from RNAcentral.